RNAcentral lists this ribosomal RNA (253 nucleotides) under uncultured bacterium. RNAcentral describes it as "partial 16S ribosomal RNA". It matches the Rfam family "Bacterial small subunit ribosomal RNA", at positions 524 to 776 of the family's 1533-position model. The record is from RNAcentral.
AACGUAGGACACAAGCGUUAUCCGGAAUUACUGGGCGUAAAGCGCGCGUAGGCGGCCUGUUAAGUCAUGGGUGAAAGCGCUGGGCUAAACCCGGCGAGGGCCUGUGAGACUGGGGGGCUAGGGUGGCGGAGAGGCAGGCGGAAUUCCGGGUGUAGUGGUGAAAUGCGUAGAGAUCCGGAGGAACACCAGAGGCGAAGGCGGCCUGCUGGUCGCAGACCGACGCUGAGGCGCGAAGGCAUGGGGAGCGAACGGG